CCUACGGGGUGCAGCAGGCGCGCAAACUUUACAAUGCGAGCAAUCGUGAUAAGGAAACCCUGAGUGCCUGUCGAUGCAGGCUGUUCAUAUAUCUAAAUCAUAUGUGAAGAAAGGGCAGGGCAAGACCGGUGCCAGCCGCCGCGGUAAUACCGGCUGCUCGAGUGAUGGCCACUAUUACUGGGUUUAAAGCGUCCGUAGCUUGACUGUUAGGUCCCUUGGGAAAUCUUCACGCUUAACGUGAAGGCGUCUAAGAGAUACCGGCAGUCUUGGAACUGGGAGAGGUAAACCGUACUUCGGGGGUAGGAGUGAAAUCUUGUAAUCCUCGAGGGACGACCUAUGGCGAAGGCAGUUUACCAGAACAGCUUCGACAGUGAGGGACGAAAGCUGGGGGAGCAAACGGGAUUAGAUACCCCGGUAGCCCCAGCCGUAAACAAUGUGCGUUAGGUGUGUCGGUAACCACGCGUUACUGAUGCGCCGAAGAGAAAUCGUGAAACGCACCACCUGGGAAGUACGGUCGCAAGGCUGAAACUUAAAGGAAUUGGCGGGGGAGCACCACAACAGGUGGAGCCUGCGGUUUAAUUGGAUUCAACGCCGGACAUCUCACCGGAUAAGACAGCUGAAUGAUUGUCAAUCUGAAGGUUUUACAUGACUAGCUGAGAGGAGGUGCAUGGCCGUCGUCAGUUCGUACUGUGAAGCAUCCUGUUAAGUCAGGCAACGAGCGAGACCCACGCCGACAAUUGCCAGCAGCAUCUCCGGAUGGCUGGGGACAUUGUCGGGACCGCCUCUGCUAAAGAGGAGGAAGGAAUGGGCAACGGUAGGUCAGCAUGCCCCGAAUUAUCCGGGCUACACGCGGGCUACAAUGGACGGGACAAUGGGUAACACCACCGAAAGGUGCAGUCAAUCUCCUAACCCCGUCCUUAGUUAGGAUUGCGGGUUGCAACUCACCCGCAUGAAUCUGGAAUCUGUAGUAAUCGCGUCUCACUAUAGCGCGGUGAAUACGUCCCUGCUCCUUGCACACACCGCCCGUC
RNAcentral lists this ribosomal RNA (1028 nucleotides) under uncultured archaeon. Its description in RNAcentral is "bacterial SSU rRNA". It matches the Rfam family "Archaeal small subunit ribosomal RNA", at positions 322 to 1354 of the family's 1478-position model. The record is from RNAcentral.